RNAcentral lists this ribosomal RNA (402 nucleotides) under uncultured bacterium. RNAcentral's name for it is "bacterial SSU rRNA". It matches the Rfam family "Bacterial small subunit ribosomal RNA", at positions 355 to 774 of the family's 1533-position model. The record is from RNAcentral.
UGGGGAAUCUUGCACAAUGGGGGAAACCCUGAUGCAGCGACGCCGCGUGAACGAUGAAGCCCUUCGGGGUGUAAAGUUCUUUCGACAGGAACGAUAAUGACGGUACCUGGAGAAGAAGCUGCGGCUAACUACGUGCCAGCAGCCGCGGUAAUACGUAGGCAGCGAGCGUUGUUCGGAGUUACUGGGCGUAAAGAGUGCGUAGGCGGCGAGCCAAGUUUGGUGUGAAAUCUCCCGGCUUAACCGGGAGGGUGCGCCGAAAACUGGUUGGCUGGAGGAUGGGAGAGGAAAGCGGAAUUCCUGGUGUAGCGGUGAAAUGCGUAGAUAUCAGGAGGAACACCUGCGGUGUAGACAGCUUUCUGGACCAAAACUGACGCUGAGGCACGAAAGCGUGGGUAGCAAACA